CCGGCGACCGGCGCACGGUGCGUAACGCGUAUGCAACCUACCUUUAACAGGGGGAGUAACACUGAGAAAUUGGUACUAAUACCCCAUAAUAUCAUAGAAGGCAUCUUUUAUGGUUGAAAAUUCCGAUGGUUAGAGAUGGGCAUGCGUUGUAUUAGCUAGUUGGUGGGGUAACGGCUCACCAAGGCGACGAUACAUAGGGGGACUGAGAGGUUAACCCCCCACACUGGUACUGAGACACGGACCAG
RNAcentral lists this ribosomal RNA (245 nucleotides) under uncultured bacterium. RNAcentral's name for it is "partial 16S ribosomal RNA". It matches the Rfam family "Bacterial small subunit ribosomal RNA", at positions 88 to 334 of the family's 1533-position model. The record is from RNAcentral.